UAAUGACUGACUACUGCAGCAUUCAGGCUAUCACACCAUAGACUUACUAGAAUUAUAGAGCUUGUACUAAUGGAGGGGACUUGGUGCAUCGUGACGCGCGCGGGGAGAAUCGACAGAGAGGGGCCCUAUUCUUGAAAUAGUUGCGCAUACAUAAAUAGCAAGUUGCGAAUGAUCGCAAUGGAAAAUCCCUAGAACGGUAUUCUUGACUGUCGCAAGCAGUAACGUAUACGCAAUUUUUCGUGUACGAUGCAACGAAUAGUUCAGACCAUUCGUUUCAUGAGAAACGUAUACGUUUCGAUGAUGAAAAGCAAUAGUAAAAGCCUCCGCGUACCAUUACAUAUUAGUCAGCCAACAGUCUCCCGCUGCAUCCACAAAAUUAUUAAUGUUGUAACAAGAGAAGAAAUAAUGAAACAGGAUUAAGUUUCCCAGUACGUUAGCAGAAUUGAACACGUUAUCCUGGAAGCACUCGCAAUACAUUUAUAUGGAAUAACUCAUAUGCAAAAAACGUGCUAUGGUUUAUCUCUAAAGGCGCUAUCCACACAAAAAUUUCCUUUUAGUAGGUGAUUCAAGGUAUUCUUUCAGGCCUUGGAUGAUGACUCCUAUAAUAGGUGCUAUUAAAGGUAGUCCAGAAGCUGAAUAUAAUACCAAACAAAUGAGAUGUCGUGCAUUAAUAGAAUAAUGCAAUGGAGUUCUGAAAAUGCGGUUUGUGUCUAUUGAAGUAUAGAAUACUCCAUUACUCUCCACCAAUAGCAUCUAAAAUUAUAUAUACAUGUGCUGUUUUACAUAAUAUGUACAUUACCCAAAAUGUGUCACUAAAUCUAAAUGACGAUAAUGAAGAUGUAGAUUUUGGGAUGUAUAAUAACAAAAAUCGUAUUGAAAAUGAAAGAAACGUCCGUAGAAUUGAUCUAAAUAUGGCAGCUGGUAGAAAUAAACAGCAACUAAUGAUUGCAAAUUACUUCUCGUAAAUUAUAAGUAUCGUUUAUCAUUUAGUAUAGUUUUUAUCAAUAGUGGAUUCAUAUUAAUUAGGAAUAUAUCAUAUUUUAAGUCAAAAAUUUUUCUUUAUUCUUACAAUGUAUAUGAAUACAAAUAAAACAUAUAUAAUAUAUAAAAGAAUUA
Molecule: long non-coding RNA, 1116 nt
Filed under: Monomorium pharaonis (pharaoh ant)
Lineage: Eukaryota; Metazoa; Arthropoda; Insecta; Hymenoptera; Formicidae
Description: uncharacterized LOC118647392, transcript variant X1
Source: RNAcentral